UCGUAUCAAAUGUGUGAGGCAUGCGAGGGCUGUCGCUGACUCUUUUAGUCGUGCACGCCGGAGUGUGUCCUCUCACAUAACAAUCCAUCUCACCCUUUGUGCACCACCGCGUGGGCACCCUUUGGGAUCACACCAAUCUCAGACGGGGGCUCACGUUUUCACACAAAACCCCCCCUUUAAAAAGUGUAGAGAAUGUCCUAAUUUAUGCAAUCAAUA
RNAcentral lists this unclassified non-coding RNA (216 nucleotides) under uncultured Lactarius. RNAcentral describes it as "sequence contains ITS1". Lineage: Eukaryota; Fungi; Basidiomycota; Agaricomycetes; Russulales; Russulaceae. The record is from RNAcentral.